This 534-nucleotide ribosomal RNA is filed under the name uncultured bacterium. RNAcentral's name for it is "bacterial SSU rRNA". It matches the Rfam family "Bacterial small subunit ribosomal RNA", at positions 777 to 1317 of the family's 1533-position model. The record is from RNAcentral.
AAUAGAUACCCGGGUAGUCCACGCCGUAAACGAUGGAUACUAGCUGUUUGGAUUGCGGUCUGAGUGGUUAAGCGAAAGUGAUAAGUAUCCCACCUGGGGAGUACGUUCGCAAGAAUGAAACUCAAAGGAAUUGACGGGGGCCCGCACAAGCGGUGGAGCAUGUGGUUUAAUUCGAUGAUACGCGAGGAACCUUACCAGGGCUUAAAUGUAGAUUGACGUUAUUGGAAACAGUAAUUUCUUCGGACAAUUUACAAGGUGCUGCGUGGUUGUCGUCAGCUCGUGCCGUGAGGUGUCAGGUUAAGUCCUAUAACGAGCGCAACCCCUGUUGUUAGUUGUCAGCACGUAAUGGUGGGAACUCUAGCAAGACUGCCGGUGUAAACCGCGAGGAAGGUGGGGAUGACGUCAAAUCAUCACGGCCCUUACGUCCUGGGCCACACACGUGCUACAAUGGGCGGUACAGAGAGCAGCCACUAUGCAAAUAGGCGCGAAUCUACAAAACCGUUCUCAGUUCGGAUCGGAGUCUGCAACUCGACU